Long non-coding RNA from Osmerus eperlanus (European smelt), 346 nucleotides. RefSeq lists it as uncharacterized. Lineage: Eukaryota; Metazoa; Chordata; Actinopteri; Osmeriformes; Osmeridae. The record is from RefSeq and is a predicted model, not a curated record. The transcript is spliced from 3 exons.
GUGCAACAUUUUCCUCAUUGAUUUGUAUUCUCACUUCAAGAAGAAUAUAAAAGACUACCACCGGCUGGAAGAUAAUGUUGGAGAUCGAACAUCUCCACAGAACAAAAGGAGGCUAAACACAUUAAAGGAGGGAUAUGAAUGCUGGCACCGAGUCGUUUGUCACACUUCACCAAGCUUCCGCUUUGACGUUUGAUUUAUCCCAAUCGCGGGCCAGCAAGCAAUUUCAAGGUGAUUAUCAAAGAAAGAAGUACGGCAAUUAUCCCUGGACUGCAAAGUGAAAGGUGAAGGGAUUUGUAUUUACCAGUCAGUGGGCGUUUAAUGACUAAACAAUAUAGUUGAAUUAUAA